RNAcentral lists this ribosomal RNA (497 nucleotides) under uncultured bacterium. Its description in RNAcentral is "partial 16S ribosomal RNA". It matches the Rfam family "Bacterial small subunit ribosomal RNA", at positions 28 to 507 of the family's 1533-position model. The record is from RNAcentral.
GAUGAACGCUGGCGGCGUGCCUAGUACAUGCAAGUCGAGCGAACGGACGAGAAGCUUGCUUUUCUGAUGUUAGCGGCGGACGGGUGAGUAACACGUGGAUAACCUACCUAUAAGACUGGGAUAACUUCGGGAAACCGGAGCUAAUACCGGAUAAUAUUUUGAACCGCAUGGUUCAUAAGUGAAAGACGGUCUUGCUGUCACUUAUAGAUGGAUCCGCGCUGCAUUAGCUAGUUGGUAAGGUAACGGCUUACCAAGGCAACGAUGCAUAGCCGACCUGAGAGGGUGAUCGGCCACACUGGAACUGAGACACGGUCCAGACUCCUACGGGAGGCAGCAGUAGGGAAUCUUCCGCAAUGGGCGAAAGCCUGACGGAGCAACGCCGCGUGAGUGAUGAAGGCCUUCGGAUCGUAAAACUCUGUUAUUAGGGAAGAACAUAUGUGUAAGUAACUGUGCACAUCUUGACGGUACCUAAUCAGAAAGCCACGGCUAACUACGUG